GUGGGGAAUAUUGCACAAUGGGCGAAAGCCUGAUGCAGCGACGCCGCGUGAGCGAAGAAGUAUUUCGGUAUGUAAAGCUCUAUCAGCAGGGAAGAUAAUGACGGUACCUGACUAAGAAGCACCGGCUAAAUACGUGCCAGCAGCCGCGGUAAUACGUAUGGUGCAAGCGUUAUCCGGAUUUACUGGGUGUAAAGGGAGCGCAGGCGGUGCGGCAAGUCUGAUGGGAAAGCCCGGGGCUCAACGCCGGUACUGCAUUGGAAACUGUCGUACUAGAGUGUCGGAGGGGUAAGCGGAAUUCCUAGUGUAGCGGUGAAAUGCGUAGAUAUUAGGAGGAACACCAGUGGCGAAGGCGGCUUACUGGACGAUAACUGACGCUGAGGCUCGAAAGCGUGGGGAGCAAACAGGAUUAGAAACCCGGGUAGUCC
Molecule: ribosomal RNA, 425 nt
Filed under: uncultured bacterium
Lineage: Bacteria
Description: partial 16S ribosomal RNA
Rfam family: Bacterial small subunit ribosomal RNA
Source: RNAcentral